CGGAGGAUGCAAGCGUUAUCCGGAUUCAUUGGGUUUAAAGGGUGCGUAGGCGGCCUUUUAAGUCAGUGGUGAAAUCCUGCCGCUUAACGGUAGAAUUGCCAUUGAUACUGAAGAGCUUGAGUACAGUUGAGGUAAGCGGAAUGUGUAGUGUAGCGGUGAAAUGCUUAGAUAUUACACAGAACACCAAUUGCGAAGGCAGCUUACUAAACUGUCACUGACGCUGAUGCACGAAAGCGUGGGGAGCGAACAGGAUUAGAUACCCUGGUAGUCCACGCCGUAAACGAUGAUCACUCGCUGUAUGCGAUACACAGUAUGCGGCCAAGCGAAAGCAUUAAGUGAUCCACCUGGGGAGUACGAUCGCAAGGUUG
RNAcentral lists this ribosomal RNA (368 nucleotides) under uncultured organism. RNAcentral's name for it is "bacterial SSU rRNA". It matches the Rfam family "Bacterial small subunit ribosomal RNA", at positions 526 to 896 of the family's 1533-position model. The record is from RNAcentral.